This is a non-coding RNA of Phrynosoma platyrhinos (Desert horned lizard), 70 nucleotides long. Lineage: Eukaryota; Metazoa; Chordata; Lepidosauria; Squamata; Phrynosomatidae. The record is from the annotation of a GenBank genome assembly.
UGCUGUGGCGCAGUCGUUUGAACGUUGGACUAGGACUCAAGGGACCAGGGUUCGAUUCCCAGCUCGGCCA